CUUUCACAGUAUUACCUACACAAGAUCCACUACUACCUCAGAUGAACAGAAUCCACAGUUAAUCUCAAUGCCGUUUUCUUCAGGGUGAACUUCCCUUUUAAUGACGACAUUAGACGAAUCUGGAUAGGCUCACAAUACGGUCUGCGAUGACAUUGGCAGUGCAGAGCAUCUGAACAUAUGGAAUACAUUGGUUGUUUUAACUCUACUUGUUUUGAGACGGUUGGAACUUCAAAUGUCACUGAUAUAGACGAAUGUACCGGGCAAUGCAAAGAUGGUAACCAUUCCUUCUCAGCCUUAUCACUCGGAUAUUUGUGUUCCUGUGGAAACUUUAC
Molecule: long non-coding RNA, 332 nt
Organism: Lytechinus variegatus (green sea urchin)
Lineage: Eukaryota; Metazoa; Echinodermata; Echinoidea; Temnopleuroida; Toxopneustidae
Exons: 3
Source: RefSeq, a predicted model, not a curated record